GUAUUUUUCAUCGUGAGUGUUGUUUAGUUCUCAAAACCAAGUCUUUGCCAAAAUAAAAGCAGAAGAGUGUCGUAUAAGUUUCCCUUUUGACGUCUUUAUUUUUUUGACCAUGGUCCUCGAUGCUUCCCUUCCCGAUGACCCUGGCAUACUCUCGAACUACGAAUCUCACUCAACCAAUUACCAAUGGCUCACUUUCGGACAUUGAACCUUGCCUAAACGCCAACCACGGGUUACGUAUGGACUCCGACCCGAGCCCUAAUGUUAACCCCAGCCCGAUUUUGGAUAAUGCAACCAGCAAUUCCUCAAUCUCAUGAGGAACCUAUGAUAUGUAUCAAUUGUAUAGCUGACAUGAUGCAGAGGAGGCGACAUAGCCUAGAGCUUAUUUAAGUUCAGUUGGUUAUAAUUUGAUGACUCCUCAGCUGAUUGAUAACAGCAGUGUAUGUUGUCACUCAUGUUGGACCGUGGCCACGGUGUGGCUCUGCACCAAUCAAGGACAAAUAAUAUUUCAAAUGAAGAAGCAACCACUAGCACUGGUCACAGUUAACGUGGAUUGUCUUUGUUACAAAUACGUUCCAUAGACUGCAUAUAAACACGGAAAGAGAAUCACAUAUUCGAAAAUAAUGUAAUAAUGGAACAGAUUUCACCUCGUCAACUGCGGGGAUCUGACCAAAUAUGUCAUCCUUAAGUGGCAGUGAGCUGAUCGAGCUGCUACACAUGCUGUGGAGCCCCAACAAACACAUGAUGGGACGAGGAUUCAUUUGUCCUGAUAUUGGCCGAAUAACAGUAGGUUGCUGUGCUCAUGUUAUGACAAUUUUGUGGUUUUUGAGCUGGGCAAGGUAUCAGGAACAUGUAUUUCCACCUGCCUAGUUCCUAGACAAUAUUUUAUUGACCCAUGAGUCAGAUUAAAAUAAUAAUAAUAAAAAAAAAUGGUGUUUUAUUUUGCUUCUAACCUUUCUAGUCUUAAGCAAAAAAAAAAUUUUUUAAGGACUUGGAUACAAAAUGAUAUUUAUAUUCUGUUUCUUACUGGUAUAGACUAUUUAAUAAAUAACAAAUUACAUGCUGUAAUGUCUGUCCACCUCAGGCCAAAGGUCCCAUACUAAGUGGGCAUAACC
This is a long non-coding RNA of Ostrinia nubilalis (European corn borer), 1112 nucleotides long. RefSeq lists it as uncharacterized. The record is from RefSeq and is a predicted model, not a curated record. Lineage: Eukaryota; Metazoa; Arthropoda; Insecta; Lepidoptera; Crambidae. The transcript is spliced from 3 exons.